GACGAACGCUGGCGGCGUGCUUAACACAUGCAAGUCGAACGGUGAAGCGCUUUCCUUUUUGGUUGGUGUGGAUGAGUGGCGAACGGGUGAGUAACACGUGAGUAACCUGCCCCCUUCUUCUGGAUAACCGCAUGAAAGUGUGGCUAAUACGGGAUAUUCUGCGCCUGCUGCAUGGUGGGUGUGGGAAAGAUUGUGCCUUUGGGUGUUUUCGGUGGGGGAUGGGCUCGCGGCCUAUCAGCUUGUUGGUGGGGUGAUGGCCUACCAAGGCGGUGACGGGUAGCCGGCCUGAGAGGGUGGACGGUCACACUGGGACUGAGACACGGCCCAGACUCCUACGGGAGGCAGCAGUGGGGAAUAUUGCACAAUGGGCGCAAGCCUGAUGCAGCGACGCCGCGUGAGGGAUGGAGGCCUUCGGGUUGUGAACCUCUUUCGCCAGUGAAGCAGGCCUGCUCCUUGUGGGUGGGUUGACGGUAGCUGGAUAAGAAGCGCCGGCUAACUACGU
RNAcentral lists this ribosomal RNA (502 nucleotides) under uncultured bacterium. Its description in RNAcentral is "partial 16S ribosomal RNA". It matches the Rfam family "Bacterial small subunit ribosomal RNA", at positions 28 to 506 of the family's 1533-position model. The record is from RNAcentral.